Molecule: transfer RNA, 74 nt
Filed under: Alphaproteobacteria bacterium
Lineage: Bacteria; Pseudomonadati; Pseudomonadota; Alphaproteobacteria
Also listed under: 4 other names
Description: tRNA-Cys
Rfam family: tRNA
About the family: Transfer RNA (tRNA) molecules are approximately 80 nucleotides in length.
Source: RNAcentral
GGCCAGGUGGCAGAGUGGUUAUGCAGAGGACUGCAAAUCCUUGGAUGCCGGUUCGAUUCCGACCCUGGCCUCCA